This is a long non-coding RNA of Ixodes scapularis (black-legged tick), 1916 nucleotides long. RefSeq lists it as uncharacterized. The transcript is spliced from 3 exons. Lineage: Eukaryota; Metazoa; Arthropoda; Arachnida; Ixodida; Ixodidae. The record is from RefSeq and is a predicted model, not a curated record.
GCACUGAGUCAGCAGUCACACUAGCACUGAUGCAGCCCUGAUUUUGCUUUAUCUCAGCACAGUGCUGCAUGUGUGAACCUUCCUUAAUCUGCAAGGAGUGGAACCUGCACUCAAGGUCUGGAAGUUAAUAUAAACAGAAUAACAAAAGGAUCCGUUUUUAUUUAGAAUCAGUUAACCUUCUUGAAAGGUAUGCAUUAUCCACUGCAACUCUGCACAGCACUCCCAGGUUCAACAGAGUGCUUCAUUUUAACGUCUAAUCUCCCCCAGAAAACUACUCAAACUAGAUUUUUGAAGCUGACUACGUCAUUUUCUGAAACACAAUUCGUCGGCGAUAUACAAGAGGAAAAUUAAGAAGACUAUGAAACAAUACUGAGUGAGAGUCUUACUAGCUGCUUAUUGCUUCAUAAAAGAAGUAGCACGCACGGAUAGGAAGCCAGAAACACGAGUUUCGCCACUAAACUUAAAAAACGAAACAACCACUGUUUCUUUAUUUUUUGGGGAAAUUUUUGCAAUUAUGUUGCUACGAUCUGACAAGUUCCACGCUGUGCAAGCCAUGUCAUGGCCAUGUCAACUUGUGCUCUGCACUGAUAAUAUGUCGGUAAAAAUUUGGGUUUAUGAGUGUGAUGAAUUAGUGUGGCAACACAAGUAUCUGAACUUGAAGAAAGUAGGGAGCACUGUCUCCCUGUACCAUAAGCAUUGCAAACUCGGGUGAGUAAUCGUAAUGAACAUUGGCAACACUAGCUGGUGAAAAAACACGCAACAGCCUGGUCUGGCCAAGCAUUGAGAUUAUUUGCUGCUCGCUUUUCUACGGUGUUUUCUGUAACAUUUAGUGCAAAAAGUUGAAAAUGAAUUUGUGUCUCCUAUUUUAUGAACAACAGAGAUUAUGUCCCAACAGUCUCUAGGGAAAUUGAGAAGACAAAAAAAAUUUCAUGGUUUAAUUGGGGUGACGUACCGGGCUCAUAGUAAUCCUGGAGCGUCACGGUGGCUGGGACUGCAUUUUCCACAACAUAAUCUUGAACCAACUCCAGCAAUGCACAGGAUUUGCGAUUGCUCAACUGAAAAAGCUCCUGCCAAUACAACUCCUUGAGCAAUGCAACAAGCUUGCUCCUCUAAACAGACGCACCAUGAAGAAGCGCCCACCUUUUCAAAACGGUAUCCAGACUGCAUUUUGACUUGAACGAUAACCAUGCCAGACAUGGCCCAGGAAACAAGCACAGUGGGUACGACGGGCAGAAAAAGCUCCUGCUUGAGAAGAGCAUUCUCUCGAUUCACGGUCAACGUGGAGCCCAGGCCUUCGGAAGAAACCCGAAUCUGCAGUCGCGUGUCAGAACUGCUGGUCGCCUUGGCAUACUCUGCCAGCGCCUGAAGUGCCACCACUGUAUCCUGCAUUGCCGUCAAGAGGAGGAGGUGCGUUAAUGCACCUUCCUUUGGGUACGCUGUAGGCAGCGUGUUGGCAUGCUAGCUUGGGUUCUUCUUAACAUACGCUUAAAGCCAAAAGAACAGUUCACUUCUCGCACAAAAAGUGAGCUCGGAAAAAAACAUGAGAAAUAAACAGACGGAAAAACUUCAUCUUCAAUCGCAAAGUCAAAUUGGGGGCUUUUACGUGUCGAUCCAACGAAGGGGAUCUGGCGCACCCCAGUCAGUGGAGGAUUGGGGGUUACUUUUGACCAACUGCAUCUUCUGACACGCAAAACCAAAAUCAAGGUUACAUGGCGACUUCUCCACUAUAGGCCUCAGUCAGACGGUGGGCACCUCGGUCGGGAUAUUGGGACCUCACAACUGAGCUUCCGUAAACUGACGAGGCAGCUCGUAAGUAUGCCGGGGAACUAGAGCAUGCCAGCAUUAAACGGUUAAGAAGGAGUACACCACUCUGCAACCAGAAGGAAGCGAGAGGCAACACGUGCCUGAGUUGACAC